CCUACGGGCGGCAGCAGUCGAGAAUCAUUCACAAUGGGGGAAACCCUGAUGGUGCGACGCCGCGUGGGGGAAUGAAGGUCUUCGGAUUGUAAACCCCUGUCAUGUGGGAGCAAAUUAAAAAGAUAGUACCACAAGAGGAAGAGACGGCUAACUCUGUGCCAGCAGCCGCGGUAAUACAGAGGUCUCAAGCGUUGUUCGGAAUCACUGGGCGUAAAGCGUGCGUAGGCUGUUUCGUAAGUCGGGUGUGAAAGGCGCGGGCUCAACCCGCGGACGGCACAUGAUACUGCGAGACUAGAGUAAUGGAGGGGGAAGCGGAAUUCUCGGUGUAGCAGUGAAAUGCGUAGAUAUCGAGAGGAACACUCGUGGCGAAGGCGGGUUACUGGACAUUAACUGACGCUGAGGCACGAAGGCCAGGGGAGCGAAAGGGAUUAGAUACCCUAGUAGUC
Molecule: ribosomal RNA, 446 nt
Filed under: uncultured bacterium
Lineage: Bacteria
Description: partial 16S ribosomal RNA
Rfam family: Bacterial small subunit ribosomal RNA
Source: RNAcentral